GGUCGCCUGGCGAAACGGGAUCGCGUCUGACUACGAAUCAGGAGAUUGUAGGUUCGAGCCCUGCAGUGGUUA
This 72-nucleotide transfer RNA is filed under the name Sphaerobolus stellatus SS14. RNAcentral describes it as "tRNA-Arg (ACG) (tRNA-Arg-ACG-12-1)". It matches the Rfam family "tRNA". From Rfam's summary of the family: Transfer RNA (tRNA) molecules are approximately 80 nucleotides in length. Their secondary structure includes four short double-helical elements and three loops (D, anti-codon, and T loops). The record is from RNAcentral. Lineage: Eukaryota; Fungi; Basidiomycota; Agaricomycetes; Geastrales; Sphaerobolaceae.